Molecule: ribosomal RNA, 482 nt
Filed under: Copelatus sp. MB211
Lineage: Eukaryota; Metazoa; Arthropoda; Insecta; Coleoptera; Dytiscidae
Description: partial 16S ribosomal RNA
Rfam family: Bacterial large subunit ribosomal RNA
Source: RNAcentral
ACCUGCCCGCUGAUUAAUUGAAUGGCCGCAGUAAUUUGACUGUGCAAAGGUAGCAUAAUCAUUAGUUUUUUAAUUAAAAGCUUGUAUGAAAGGUUGGACGAGGUAAAAUCUGUCUCUAUUUAAUUUAUUUUAGAAUUUAAUUUUUAAGUUAAAAAGCUUAAAUUUUUGUAAAAGACGAGAAGACCCUAUAGAUCUUUAUAUUUAUAUUAAUAAUUUUAUUUAGGAUUAUUUUAUUUUUUAUUUAUUAUAAUAUUUUAUUGGGGUAAUAAAGAGAUUAAUUGAAUUCUUUUUUUAUAUAUAUAUAGAUUAAUAGAUAUUUGAUCCAAUUAUUUUGAUUAUAAGAUUAAGUUACCUUAGGGAUAACAGCGUAAUUUUUUUAGAGAGUUCAUAUCGAUAAAAAAGUUUGCGACCUCGAUGUUGGAUUAAAAAUUAUUUUAGCUGCAAAAGGUUAGAAAUUUGGUCUGUUCGACCAUUAAAUUUUU